GGAAUCUUCCACAAUGGACGAAAGUCUGAUGGAGCAACGCCGCGUGAGUGAUGAAGGUUUUCGGAUCGUAAAACUCUGUUGUAAGGGAAGAACAAGUACGAGAGGCAAUGCUCGUACCUUGACGGUACCUUGCGAGAAAGCCACGGCUAACUACGUGCCAGCAGCCGCGGUAAUACGUAGGUGGCAAGCGUUGUCCGGAAUUAUUGGGCGUAAAGCGCGCGCAGGCGGCCUUUUAAGUCUGAUGUGAAAGCCCCCGGCUCAACCGGGGAGGGUCAUUGGAAACUGGAAGGCUUGAGUACAGAAGAGAAGAGUGGAAUUCCAUGUGUAGCGGUGAAAUGCGUAGAGAUGUGGAGGAACACCAGUGGCGAAGGCGACUCUUUGGUCUGUAACUGACGCUGAGGCGCGAAAGCGUGGGGAGCAAACAGGAUUAGAUACCCGGG
Molecule: ribosomal RNA, 440 nt
Filed under: uncultured Exiguobacterium sp.
Lineage: Bacteria; Bacillati; Bacillota; Bacilli; Caryophanales
Description: bacterial SSU rRNA
Rfam family: Bacterial small subunit ribosomal RNA
Source: RNAcentral